GAUAUGGAAAUGAUGUUCACUAACCUUUCACAUGAUUCAUGCUUAACUCACAUGUCAUAAUUAAUAUCACGACAAAAUCAUGUUUUUAACUCGCAUGCGCCCUUUAUUAAAGCAGCAUUUUUUUUUUUUUUUUUUGCAGUUAAAAUAAAUAAAAAGUUCACUUUUGAUCAGUUGCAUGUCAAUUUUCGCCGAUAAAAUCCAGUUAUGAGCGCUGUACGGAACACCAUUAUAAGCCUGUGAGGAACACCGUUAUCUUCCGUACACUGGCAGGCGGAGGUGGUACUUUUCCGCAGUUUUCUCAAAAACUAUUGGUCCUAAAGACAUCAAUCAAAGUGUAGACUGUAUAAUAAGUAUUCCCCCGGAAAAUGAGCACACAAACAUGCAUGUUUGUCUUUCAACAACGGAGGAGUGCUCGCUGGCGUGCGGUGAAAAGUGUACGGAACAUGCUACAGGAGAUGGACACAAAAUCACGCUACUGCCCAAGCUUUCAUGUUGUGUAGCUGAUGAGACAAGUAUAUGUAUCUCUUUUUCGGCUCCGCCCCUGCAGCCGGUUUAGUAUCUAGACUGCUCUAACAUCAGAGUGAAGAGAGAAGAAUGUGGAACUUGAUGAAUACGUUUGUUUUCCGCAUCAUUGUGAUCACUGUUUUAGCACUGUGAAGAGCUUGACGUACACUGGGAGAGAAGGGUUUGACAGGACUGACGAGGAGUCCUGUGUGCGUCAUGAUGUUUCCGCCAGCCGCUGCUCAGCUGUGUUUGAAUGUUGUUUGGUUCUAUGUUGCGUUGGUCUAUGUCUGUCAAUAUCUGUGCUUGAUCAGUUGCCUGCUGAUACGUGAGUUUUGAUCCAAUAAUAAACUAUAGCUAAUACACAAAUUGCUAUCUUGACAUCGCGUGUCUUUAUGUUGCUUACCCCUUAUAACGAGCACUUUAAUAACGGGGUUCGUAACAGUGAGGAUCUGGGUAUCCUGAAGGUUGUGUUUCUCGGAUGACAGAGGUGGUGUAAAGUGAAGGCGGUAAAUAAAAAUCUUAUCAAACCAUUAGAAAAAUGUUUGUGCUAUAGUAAAUUAGAUCUGGCCCGUAUUUCUCUCAUCUCUUGUCUGCUAUCAAGGGCUCAUAUCCCAGUGAAGCCUGUCACGCUGAACAGGUGGUGAUAAAUGCUUUGA
This is a long non-coding RNA of Carassius gibelio (silver crucian carp), 1160 nucleotides long. RefSeq lists it as uncharacterized. The transcript is spliced from 3 exons. NCBI's taxonomy places the organism in Eukaryota, Metazoa, Chordata, Actinopteri, Cypriniformes, Cyprinidae. The record is from RefSeq and is a predicted model, not a curated record.